RNAcentral lists this long non-coding RNA (2728 nucleotides) under Malus domestica (apple). RNAcentral describes it as "long non-coding RNA (MDOM_LNC007469)". The record is from RNAcentral. Lineage: Eukaryota; Viridiplantae; Streptophyta; Magnoliopsida; Rosales; Rosaceae.
GAGGGCAUGCUGGCCGUCACGUGAGAGUGACGUAACCAUUUGCACAGUACGAAAGCUUUAAGAUACAAUUUAAAUUGAUACACCCGAAGGUGAGUCCUAAUUUUGUCCAAUCUGUCAGAACACCGUCGAAUUCCUCGUAGUCACCACACCUUUGUGAUUCCUGAACCUGGAGGGGCGCAAAACCAAAAUUGAGUGGGUCAGUAAAACAAUUCUUUUCCAAAUCCAAACAUUUCUCAAAACGUUGUAACCCCUCUCCGUAAAACCUGUAUACUUUCCCAGAAAUGUAAAAUAUAAAUAUACAUAUAUAUUCUCAAAACUUCAUUUUUACUAUCUCAACAUUAUCUCUUUAUCAAUCAUGCCAUGCCAUGUCAUCUCAACAUUUCUCAUAUUAAUUAUGCCAUGCCACACAUCAUCUCAACAGUAAUAAGGUAUGAAUGCAUCAACAUAAUCAUAUCAGGUGCAAGAAAGUAAUCAACCGUAGGCCCUCUAAUAGCCCUAUACGGUUGAACCUAGAGCUCAAAAAUCUAUCAUUAUCACUCUACCGGAGUCACCUCUGUGACCCGUCCGGCCUUCUCUGCACACAAGUUACGCUCUAGUGCUUCUCAUAAAUCAUCUGUGCACAUAAUCUAAGGUCACCCACCAGUCGGAAUCUCACUAACACUCUCGCGACUGGUCUGUCGUACCCACUCCGCGUGGACUGUACGACUAGCAUCUACUUGGAUCCAAGGCGAGCGUGCGAUGCGGUGAAUACUAUAAGCACUAAACCAUGGUGCAGGAUUUGAGCUCAAUAUAUAUCAUCAUCAUCAUAGCAGUAAUUAAAUACUCAUCUGUGCGUCCACCGCACCAUUUCAUACAUAUGCAUCAUAAAUCAAUUCUUACCUGUGCGUCCACCGCACCAAUUCAUACAUAUGCAUCAUAUAUUAAUUCAUGCAUGGCAUUUCAACUCACAUUUCUAUAUACUUUUCAUAUCAAUUCUAUGCAUGGUAUUUCACUUCCCGUUUUUCCACAUAACUCAUAUGCAUUUCAUUUUAAACAUAAUUUCAUGCAUUUUCAAUUUCUGGGAAAACGUUAAGUAUAUAUAUAUAUACGGAAAACAAAACUGCCCACUCACUUGGAGUUCGCCCUACAACUCCCUAGCACAAUACGCCAAGGCGUCAUGACGAUCGGCGCCUAAAACAAUAAUCAAUUCCAACCUCAGAAUUCAUAUCGAUAGAAUAUAUAACUUAUAUAAAAUACGUCACUACGUAGAUUGAUCCGGAAGAUCCACCCUCAGAUUUUAAAUCCAUAACUUCCAGAGGUUCACAUUAUACCUCUAGGACAACAAUCCUAAAAUUUCAUUACCAUCCAACGGUCGGAUCUCCGUCAAUUUCCAAAACUAAGUGACGGUUAACAUUUUUAUAUUAUGGACUUACAAUUCCAAUUCCGGAAGAUCCGUAACUCGGAUUCCCAAUCCGUAAGUUCCAAUAAUCCUCAAAUAUUAUGUAUUACAACGUAUCAAAGUUUGGUGACGAUCCAACGGUCGGAUCAUCAAUUUACAUUUUCACCUAAAUGUGAAAACUAUAAAACGUUAUUUGAACACCUAACCAACAAUCUUCAAUAACUUUCUCAUACGGUGUUCAAUUUAGGUAUAUGAAUAUAUCACAGUGAUCUACUCGACGUCACGGACGUCGACAUAUUUUUAAAAUAAUUUUAUUUUUAUUUUUUUAUUUUUACUGUAGCACCUUCUUCUUCCUUGGGUCGCCGGACUGGUUUUUCCGGCGGCCGUUUUCUGGGCAGUUUUUCAAAUUGCCAUAACUUUGUCAUUUCUCAACUAAAUCAAGUGAUUCAAAAACGAAAGUUGUAGCCCUUGAAGAGACAAAAGAGAAUGGUACCUUUCCCAACACCUAGUUCGCCGUAGUUUGGCCGGAAACUGCCUCGAAAGCCUCGGAGGUCGCCGGAAACUGGGUAUUUUUCAAAUGAGUAUAACUUCUUCAAUACUCAACGAAAUUGAGUGAAACAAAAAGGAAAGUUGUAGUACUUGACGAGAUGAAGAGAUUGAUACCUACCUCGACGCCUAACUCGCCGGGGAUUCGCCGGAAAAUUCCUCGAAAGCUCCGGCCAAACUUUGAACUUAUCGAUCUCCGUGUUCUUACGUCCAAAAACUUCCAACGAAGCACUCCGAGCUUCCUUGGAACCUCACUAAGCUCACUGUGAGCUUGGAUUGUCCUAAAAAAAAAAGUCAAUUCGAAGAUCAUGAACAGUGCACUUUCACGGGGAGUUUAGAAUCUAGGUUUUCCGAAGUAAAACUUACCUGAAAUUGGUGUCUACGUGAUCGUGGAGUCUCCAGGAGUUCGAUGGUGGUCUUAACUCCGUCGUUGGUGGAAGUUUAAGGUUGUUUUGUGGUUGGUUUGUUCGAACGGAGAAGAAGAGUGACAGAGAGAGAGAGAUUCAUGAGGGAGGAGAGAGAGAGACAGUAUGCAGAAAAUAGGGAGAGGAUUGAGGGGUGUGGGGAUCCCACGUGUCCAACUCAAUCCAAAUUGUUAAAUUUUCGCCCCUUAGUCCCGUUUAAGGGCAUUUUCGUCUUUUCAUGUCCUCGGAAUUAAAAUUCCGGGACGGGCUGUGACAAUCUUCCCUCCUUAUAGAAUUUCGUCCCCGAAAUUCCAGCAACCAACUAAAUCAACCAUACUCCAACAAUAGCUUCGGGUAAAUCUUUCUCAUCCGAUUCUCUUUCUCCCACAUACUUUUCUAC